CCUACGGGUGGCAGCAGUGAGGAAUAUUGGUCAAUGGACGCAAGUCUGAACCAGCCAUGCCGCGUGCAGGAAGACGGCUCUAUGAGUUGUAAACUGCUUUUGUACGAGGGUAAACGCAGAUACGCGUAUCUGUCUGAAAGUAUCGUACGAAUAAGGAUCGGCUAACUCCGUGCCAGCAGCCGCGGUAAUACGGAGGAAUCAAGCGUUAUCCGGAUUUAUUGGGUUUAAAGGGUGCGUAGGCGGUCGGAUAAGUUAGAGGUGAAAUCCGGAGGCUCAACUUCGGAAUUGCCUCUGAUACUGUUCGUCUAGAGAGUAGUUGCGGUAGGCGGAAUGUAUGGUGUAGCGGUGAAAUGCUUAGAGAUCAUACAGAACACCGAUUGCGAAGGCAGCUUACCAAGCUACUUCUGACGUUGAGGCACGAAAGCGUGGGGAGCAAACAGGAUUAGAUACCCCAGUAGUC
Molecule: ribosomal RNA, 460 nt
Filed under: uncultured bacterium
Lineage: Bacteria
Description: partial 16S ribosomal RNA
Rfam family: Bacterial small subunit ribosomal RNA
Source: RNAcentral